AUUCUCUUGAAAAUGUCUCAUAUUAUCCGAGUCUGGAAAUCUUCCAGCGAUGCCAGAGAUGACGAUUUCCUCGCCAGGAUCCAUUAUGCUCUGAGUGCAAGGAUUGAAGCUCACAGAGCUUUUUACCAGAAACACGAUAUAAAAAAAAAUAAUUCGAUGAUCAUUUCCUAUAAAGUCUAUAAUAAUCCUUGUCAGCGUUGCACAGCGGGCAGGUAACUAGGAUCAACGAUCAAUGAUGAAGAGUAUAGUCUUGAUCAGGUUUUUAUAAUGUAGCUAAAGUUACUCAUCCCACGUGCUAACAGGUCAACAAAAUGCCAUUGAAUUCUGAUAAAUUUAACUAUUAAAAAAAAAUCAUUGAAUUUACAAGUCACCUUUGAGUUUAUAUAUUUAAUUAAUAAACAUUUAAGCUGUGAAAACAUUACCUGAAUUCAUCCAUUUAAAUCUAUUAAACAAAUUUAACCAUUUAGAACAAUACUCAUUAAUUAUCAUCUACUAUAUGCGGGUAUUUUUCAAAGCUAAUUUAAUUAUGCCCAAAAAACACUUUUUAUGAAUAUUCAAAUUUUGAAAUUCGGUGUCAAGAGUUAGCGGAUAUUACGCCUAUCAUGAGUCAUCAACAUGGGCUUCAAUUAAUUAUUUAUUUCUUCAUAAUUUUUAAAUAUUUUACUACUUUAUUGUUGUCUUUACAUAAAUUAAUAAUUACCAUCAACGUCAAAAAGUAACUGCUGAUCCUGUUUUUCAUACAAAAUUAUAGAUUCCAUCAGAGACAGUCAAAAAAUUUGAAAAUCCAAAAGUCUAGAUCUCAAAUGGUCAUGUUAGAUUUUUUAAAAAUAAUUUUAGUUUAUUUAAAUUCAAUUAUAGAUCUCGUUUACUUUAACUAAACAUGCGGUCACGGAAUCAAGGCAGUUUGCAAUAAAAUAAGAGGAUAAUUUUUUUGAUUUUAUUUUGAAAGAACAUGUACAUAUUUUGAUACAAAUUUUGACAUUUCUUUGAAAUAAAUUUUGUUAAAAAAUUACAUUAAUAACGAAAAAGAAUAAUUUGAAAACCUUUUACUCAAAUUUAAAAAUUAUUCAUCAGUUUUUGACAUUCAUAUGCUUGCGGUGAAGAAGAAAUCACAGUAGAGAAGAAAUCACUUUUAAUUUAGAAGUUUUUAAAUAAAAAAUAGAAAUUUUGAAUUUUUUUCCACGCCCUUAUGGAUUCUGCAGUUGAAAAUUUCAGAACUUGUAUUUCUUAAAUAUAUACAUCAAAUUACUUUUUUUUUUACGUAUAUUAUUAUUAAUAAUAAUUAUAUUGGCACUCUUAUAAAUUAAUGUCUUACAAUUAAAAAUAAGUACAGUUGGGUAAAAAAUAAAAAAAGUUUUUUAUAUCUUCAUAUAAUUUUAUUAAAUCAAUAAACAUUUUUGUGGAUAUUAUAAGUGGAAUUAAAUUUUUAUUCAGUAGAUUAAUUGGUAAAUGGGUUACAAAAAUUCGAACUAAUGUAUAUACAAUAAAUGUGUCUUCAUUCAAAAUCAAUGUAACAUGAUAUUGUAAUUAUUACUCCGCAUUGCAUCAAUUAAUGUUAGAAAAAAAAACAAUUUCAUUUAAAAAUAAGAGUAUUAAGUAAAUUAUAAAAUAAAUUUGUGAAAGUAUGAAUUAUUAACUAAAUUAAAUUAAGCUCUACUGUAGUGUGGAUCUGAAAUUGGAGCUAGAAUUUUACCAUCUUCCAUAAUUCUAGCUUUGAAUGCGUCUGCGUCUUCAAGCGGUUCGCCAUUUAUUGCAGUCGCUAUUUUAGCUUCGUCUAAUAUCGUCACAUGAUUCCC
Microplitis mediator is the source of this 1796-nucleotide long non-coding RNA. RefSeq lists it as uncharacterized. The transcript has 2 exons. Lineage: Eukaryota; Metazoa; Arthropoda; Insecta; Hymenoptera; Braconidae. The record is from RefSeq and is a predicted model, not a curated record.